This 533-nucleotide ribosomal RNA is filed under the name uncultured bacterium. RNAcentral describes it as "bacterial SSU rRNA". It matches the Rfam family "Bacterial small subunit ribosomal RNA", at positions 777 to 1308 of the family's 1533-position model. The record is from RNAcentral.
AAUAGAUACCCGGGUAGUCCACGCCGUAAACGAUGAGUGCUAAGUGUUGGGGGGUUUCCGGCCCCUCAGUGCUGCAGCUAACGCAUUAAGCACUCCGCCUGGGGAGUACGGCCGCAAGGCUGAAACUCAAAGGAAUUGACGGGGGCCCGCACAAGCGGUGGAGCAUGUGGUUUAAUUCGAAGCAACGCGAAGAACCUUACCAGGUCUUGACAUCCCGCUGCCCGGUAUAGAGAUAUAUCUUUCCCUUCGGGGACAGCGGUGACAGGUGGUGCAUGGUUGUCGUCAGCUCGUGUCGUGAGAUGUUGGGUUAAGUCCCGCAACGAGCGCAACCCUUGAUCUUAGUUGCCAGCAUUUAGUUGGGCACUCUAAGGUGACUGCCGGUGACAAACCGGAGGAAGGUGGGGAUGACGUCAAAUCAUCAUGCCCCUUAUGACCUGGGCUACACACGUGCUACAAUGGAUGGUACAAGGGCUGCAAGACCGCGAGGUUUAGCCAAUCCCAUAAAACCAUUCUCAGUUCGGAUUGCAGGCUGA